This 497-nucleotide ribosomal RNA is filed under the name uncultured bacterium. Its description in RNAcentral is "partial 16S ribosomal RNA". It matches the Rfam family "Bacterial small subunit ribosomal RNA", at positions 28 to 507 of the family's 1533-position model. The record is from RNAcentral.
GAUGAACGCUGGCGGCGUGCCUAAUACAUGCAAGUCGAGCGAACAGACGAGGAGCUUGCUCCUCUGACGUUAGCGGCGGACGGGUGAGUAACACGUGGAUAACCUAUCUAUAAGACUGGGAUAACUUCGGGAAACCGGAGCUAAUACCGGAUAAUAUAUUGAACCGCAUGGUUCAAUAGUGAAAGACGGUUUUGCUGUCACUUAUAGAUGGAUCCGCGCCGCAUUAGCUAGUUGGUAAGGUAACGGCUUACCAAGGCAACGAUGCGUAGCCGACCUGAGAGGGUGAUCGGCCACACUGGAACUGAGACGCGGUCCAGACUCCUACGGGAGGCAGCAGUAGGGAAUCUUCCGCAAUGGGCGAAAGCCUGACGGAGCAACGCCGCGUGAGUGAUGAAGGUCUUCGGAUCGUAAAACUCUGUUAUUAGGGAAGAACAAAUGUGUAAGUAACUAUGCACGUCUUGACGGUACCUAAUCAGAAAGCCACGGCUAACUACGUG